UACGUAGGGGGCUAGCGUUGUCCGGAAUUACUGGGCGUAAAGGGUGCGUAGGCGGUAUCUUAAGUCAGAUGUGAAAUACCCGGGCUUAACCCGGGGGGUGCAUUUGAAACUGGGAUACUUGAGUGCAGGAGAGGUAAGUGGAAUUCCUAGUGUAGCGGUGAAAUGCGUAGAUAUUAGGAGGAACACCAGUGGCGAAGGCGACUUACUGGACUGUAACUGACACUGAGGCACGAAAGCGUGGGGAGCAAACAGG
Molecule: ribosomal RNA, 253 nt
Filed under: uncultured bacterium
Lineage: Bacteria
Description: partial 16S ribosomal RNA
Rfam family: Bacterial small subunit ribosomal RNA
Source: RNAcentral